Molecule: small nucleolar RNA, 123 nt
Filed under: Meriones unguiculatus (Mongolian gerbil)
Lineage: Eukaryota; Metazoa; Chordata; Mammalia; Rodentia; Muridae
Description: Small nucleolar RNA SNORA17 (ENSMUGG00000021892.1)
Rfam family: Small nucleolar RNA SNORA17
About the family: snoRNA ACA 17 belongs to the H/ACA family of snoRNAs and is predicted to guide pseudouridylation of the 28S rRNA at positions U4659 and U4598. It shares the same host gene together with ACA43.
Source: RNAcentral
GAUGCCCCUAGAGGCACUGCAGGUGUGUCACAUGUGUGUCAGUCGGUGGCAGAGAGGAGAGAGGUCAUAUCUACGCUCAGUGUUCUGACCUGUGAACAUCUGAAUGAUUAGUAACCUAACAUU